RNAcentral lists this ribosomal RNA (527 nucleotides) under uncultured bacterium. Its description in RNAcentral is "bacterial SSU rRNA". It matches the Rfam family "Bacterial small subunit ribosomal RNA", at positions 983 to 1509 of the family's 1533-position model. The record is from RNAcentral.
GACAUACUAAGAACUUUCCAGAGAUGGAUUGGUGCCUUCGGGAACUUAGAUACAGGUGCUGCAUGGCUGUCGUCAGCUCGUGUCGUGAGAUGUUGGGUUAAGUCCCGNAACGAGCGCAACCCUUUUCCUUAUUUGCCAGCGGGUCAUGCCGGGAACUUUAAGGAUACUGCCAGUGACAAACUGGAGGAAGGCGGGGACGACGUCAAGUCAUCAUGGCCCUUACGGCCAGGGCUACACACGUGCUACAAUGGUCGGUACAAAGGGUUGCUACCUCGCGAGAGGAUGCUAAUCUCAAAAAGCCGAUCGUAGUCCGGAUCGCAGUCUGCAACUCGACUGCGUGAAGUCGGAAUCGCUAGUAAUCGCGGAUCAGAAUGCCGCGGUGAAUACGUUCCCGGGCCUUGUACACACCGCCCGUCACACCAUGGGAGUUUGUUGCACCAGAAGUAGGUAGUCUAACCGCAAGGAGGACGCUUACCACGGUGUGGCCGAUGACUGGGGUGAAGUCGUAACAAGGUAGGCGUAGAUGA